RNAcentral lists this transfer RNA (82 nucleotides) under Streptantibioticus parmotrematis. RNAcentral describes it as "tRNA-Ser". The record is from RNAcentral. Lineage: Bacteria; Bacillati; Actinomycetota; Actinomycetes; Kitasatosporales; Streptomycetaceae.
GCCGCUAAGUGGCACCGAGAGCGGCGCGGUCUUGAAAACUGUCGUGGCGGCAACGCCACCGUGGGUUCAAAUCCCACACCCU